GUGGACACUGGCGCACGGGUGAGUAACGCGUGGGAAUCUACCCCGGGGUGGGGGACAACCGCUGGAAACGGCGGCUAAUACCGCAUACGCCUUGAGAGGGAAAGCUUUAGCGCCCUGGGAUGAGCCCGCGUUAGAUUAGGUUGUUGGUGGGGUAACGGCCCACCAAGCCUACGAUCUAUAGCUGGUCUGAGAGGAUGAUCAGCCACACUGGGACUGAGACACGGCCCAGACUCCUACGGGAGGCAGCAGUGGGGAAUAUUGGACAAUGGGGGCAACCCUGAUCCAGCCAUGCCGCGUGUGUGAAGAAGGCUUUCGGGUUGUAAAGCACUUUCAGUGAGGAGGAAAACCUUACGACUAAUACUCGUGAGGCUUGACGUUACUCACAGAAGAAGCACCGGCUAACUCCGUGCCAGCAGCCGCGGUAAUACGUAGGGUGCGAGCGUUGUCCGGAAUUAUUGGGCGUAAAGAGCUCGUAGGCGGUCUGUCACGUCGGCUGUGAAAACC
Molecule: ribosomal RNA, 504 nt
Filed under: Synchroma pusillum
Lineage: Eukaryota; Synchromophyceae; Synchromales; Synchromaceae
Description: partial Bacterial small subunit ribosomal RNA
Rfam family: Bacterial small subunit ribosomal RNA
Source: RNAcentral